This 1438-nucleotide ribosomal RNA is filed under the name Micrococcus sp. CMST. RNAcentral's name for it is "bacterial SSU rRNA". It matches the Rfam family "Bacterial small subunit ribosomal RNA". Lineage: Bacteria; Bacillati; Actinomycetota; Actinomycetes; Micrococcales; Micrococcaceae. The record is from RNAcentral.
CACAUGUCAAAUCUACAUAAUGAACUAACUCAUAUCGCCGUAUCAACGGGCAGUAGACAUAGCACGCCUGACGAUAACCUGCCCUUAACAUCUGGGAUAAGCCUGGCGAAACUGGAGUCUAAUACCAGCGAUAGCGAGCGCCUACCAGCAUGGUGGGUGUAUGGAAAGAUUUAUCGGUUUUGGAUGGACUCGCGGCCUAUCAGCUUGUUGGUAGAGGUAAUGGCUCACCAAGGCGACGACGGUAGCCGGCCUGAGAGGGUGACCGGCCACACUGGGACUGAGACACGGCCCAACUCCUACGGGAGGCAGCAGUGGGGAAUAUUGCACAAUGGGCGCAAGCCUGAUGCAGCGACGCCGCGUGAGGGAUGACGGCCUUCGGGUUGUAAACCUCUUUCAGUAGGGAAGAAGCGAAAGUGACGGUACCUGCAGAAGAAGCACCGGCUAACUACGUGCCAGCAGCCGCGGUAAUACGUAGGGUGCGAGCGUUAUCCGGAAUUAUUGGGCGUAAAGAGCUCGUAGGCGGUUUGUCGCGUCUGUCGUGAAAGUCCGGGGCUUAACCCCGGAUCUGCGGUGGGUACGGGCAGACUAGAGUGCAGUAGGGGAGACUGGAAUUCCUGGUGUAGCGGUGGAAUGCGCAGAUAUCAGGAGGAACACCGAUGGCGAAGGCAGGUCUCUUGGCUUUAACUGACGCUGAAGGAGCGGAAGCAUGGGGAGCGAACAGGAUUAGAUACCCUGGUAGUCCAUGCCGUAAACGUUGGGCACUAGGUGUGGGGACCAUUCCACGGUUUCCGCGCCGCAGCUAACGCAUUAAGUGCCCCGCCUGGGGAGUACGGCCGCAAGGCUAAAACUCAAAGGAAUUGACGGGGGCCCGCACAAGCGGCGGAGCAUGCGGAUUAAUUCGAUGCAACGCGAAGAACCUUACCCAAGGCUUUGACAUGUUCUCGAUCGCCGUAGAGAUACGGUUUCCCCUUUGGGGCGGGUUCACAGGUGGUGCAUGGUGUCGUCAGCUCGUGUCGUGAGAUGUUGGGUUAAGUCCCGCAACGAGCGCAACCCUCGUUCCAUGUUGCCAGCACGUAAUGGUGGGGACUCAUGGGAGACUGCCGGGGUCAACUCGGAGGAAGGUGAGGACGACGUCAAAUCAUCAUGCCCCUUAUGUCUUGGGCUUCACGCAUGCUACAAUGGCCGGUACAAUGGGUUGCGAUACUGUGAGGUGGAGCUAAUCCCAAAAAGCCGGUCUCAGUUCGGAUUGGGGUCUGCAACUCGACCCCAUGAAGUCGGAGUCGCUAGUAAUCGCAGAUCAGCAACGCUGCGGUGAAUACGUUCCCGGGCCUUGUACACACCGCCCGUCAAGUCACGAAAGUUCUGGUAACACUCUGCGAUAUGUCGCGUUUGUGGCCUAAUCCUGCGUGACGGGAGUGACCUGUUGCGUAUAGGUGCU